GACGAACGCUGGCGGCGUGCUUAACACAUGCAAGUCGAACGGAAAGGCCCUGCUUUCGUGGGGUGCUCGAGUGGCGAACGGGUGAGUAACACGUGAGUAACCUGCUCUUGACUUUGGGAUAACUUCAGGAAACUGGGGCUAAUACCGUAUAGGAGCUCCUGCUGCAUGGUGGGGGGUGGAAAGUUUCGGCGGUUGGGGAUGGACUCGCGGCUUAUCAGUUUGUUGGUGGGGUAGUGGCUUACCAAGGCUUUGACCGGUAGCCGGCCUGAGAGGGUGACCGGCGACAAUGGGACUGAGAUACGGCCCAGACUCCUACGGGAGGCAGCGGUGGGGAAUAUUGCACAAUGGGCGGAAGCGUGAUGCAGCAGCGCCGCGUGCGGGAUGACGGCCUUCGGGUUGUAAACCGCUUUCGCCUGAGACGAAGCGUGAGUGACGGUAAUGGGUAAAGAAGCACCGGCUAACUACGUG
This 468-nucleotide ribosomal RNA is filed under the name uncultured bacterium. Its description in RNAcentral is "partial 16S ribosomal RNA". It matches the Rfam family "Bacterial small subunit ribosomal RNA", at positions 28 to 507 of the family's 1533-position model. The record is from RNAcentral.